GACGAACGCUGGCGGCGUGCUUAACACAUGCAAGUCGAACGGAAAGGCCCUGCUUUUGUGGGUGCUCGAGUGGCGAACGGGUGAGUAACACGUGAGUCACCUGCCCUUGACUUUGGGAUAACUUCAGGCAACUGGGGCUAAUACCGGAUAGGAGCUCCUGCUGCAUGGUGGGGGUUGGAAAGUUUCGGCGGUUGGGGAUGGACUCGCGGCUUAUCAGCUUGUUGGUGGGGUAGUGGCUUACCAAGGCUUUGACGGGUAGCCGGCCUGAGAGGGUGACCGGCCACAUUGGGACUGAGAUACGGCCCAGACUCCUACGGGAGGCAACAGUGGGGAAUAUUGCACAAUGGGCGGAAGCCUGAUGCAGCAACGCCGCGUGCGGGAUGACGGCCUUCGGUUUGUAAACCGCUUUCGCCUGUGACGAAGCGUGAGUGACGGUAAUGGGUAAAGAAGCACCGGCUAACUACGUG
Molecule: ribosomal RNA, 467 nt
Filed under: uncultured bacterium
Lineage: Bacteria
Description: partial 16S ribosomal RNA
Rfam family: Bacterial small subunit ribosomal RNA
Source: RNAcentral